This is a non-coding RNA of Xyrichtys novacula (pearly razorfish), 781 nucleotides long. The record is from the annotation of a GenBank genome assembly. Lineage: Eukaryota; Metazoa; Chordata; Actinopteri; Labriformes; Labridae.
UGUUGAUGGCUGAACAUUGCAUUAUCCUAGAAAACUUGGAGGCCAGUGAGGACAAAAAUAAAAAGUUAUAAGACUUUUGAAAAUGUGGAUUUUUGGGUUAUCUUUGGCGCCCCCUAGAACGUAAACCGUGGGGUGCAGCAGCAUGAUUUUUACAUCUUUGAAUGGCCAUGGGGUGUAGAUUGGCCUGAGCAAAUUUGGUGCCGAUGGGACGAAAGCUUUAGGAGGAGUUAGCGAAAUUCCAAUGUGUGCGGAUCGGCAAAAAAUGCAAAAUAGCCCUUUAACCGUACAUUUGACAGAUACGCGCAUUGACUUUUUCGUAGAUCUUUUUGAGAUACACGUGAUUGUCAAAUUUUGUGUCAAUAUGCCAAAGCGUACAGGUGUGACACUCACCAAUGUGUAUUUUCACCUUAGGGGACAAGAAAAAAUGGACUUUUUUCUCCUGCCAUGGGGGGGCGCUCUUUUGGGGAGUAAAAAUUCCUUCACAAAUGUGUUGAUGGCUGGACAUUGCAUCAUCCUAGAAAACUUGGAGGCCAGUGAGGACAAAAAUAAAAAGUUAUAAGACUUUUAAAUAUGUGGAUUUUAGGGUUAUCUUUGGCGCCCCCUAGAACCUAAACCGUGGGGUGCAGCGUCAUGAUUUGAAUAACUUUUAAUGGCCAUGGGGUGUAGAUUGGCCUGAGCAAAUGUGGUGCCGGUGAAACGAAAGCCUUCGGAGGAGUUAGCGAAAUUCCAAUGUGUGCGGAUCGGCAAAAAAUGCGGAAUAACCCUUUAACCGUACAUUUGA